CUCAUCGAUGCUGAAAUUCUAGAUCUAACUAUUAGAUCUACCAUAGGAAUCAAAAUAAAUUAGAGAUCAUUACCAAACAAAUUUUGAUCUUGAUCUUCUCUGAUCCAAUGAUUGGAGAGGGUGUUCCUCAGAUAGCUCACAGCCACAUAAAGUUGUCUGGCCUCUAUAAAAAAAUUCAUGCAAAGACUGACACAGUUCAGGGGCUCGGAGAUGCUAGUCUAUGAAUAACUUCGACAGCUGACCUCUUUCUUUUUCUACAAGCACCUUAGAUACUCCAAAGUGAUAGGAGAUCUGGAGGAGAAAGAG
Molecule: long non-coding RNA, 306 nt
Filed under: Elaeis guineensis (African oil palm)
Lineage: Eukaryota; Viridiplantae; Streptophyta; Magnoliopsida; Arecales; Arecaceae
Description: long non-coding RNA (EGUI_LNC042373)
Source: RNAcentral